UGUUCUGGAAGACUUCAGACAAGAUCAGAGAGGGGAAGGGAAGGAAGGAGCCAGGCCCCAGACUGGGAGGGAGGGAACAGCAGCAUCGAAAACGUACCGUCCACCGCCUCCCUGUCGCUGAUGUGCUGCAGGUUACAGCCCGUGUCCUCCCGGCUGAUGUCGGUGUCGGUGCGGUUGAAUCAAGAUGCUGAAGCUGAAGGCUUGGUCUGAAAGGUGAAACUGGAAUCAACUUUUCUAACAUCGGAGAAUGACUUCAGGGAAUGGAAUUUGUUUUCCCUGAAACAAAGGUCCGAUGUGAAACGUGGCAAGAUAAGGAUGAAUUUUCCCCAUUUUCUUCGCGUAAAAAAGUCAAAGUAAUGGAGGAUUUGCAAUGCUUAUAAAGUCAAACUCUGUUUACUAAAUG
This is a long non-coding RNA of Carcharodon carcharias (great white shark), 403 nucleotides long. RefSeq lists it as uncharacterized. The record is from RefSeq and is a predicted model, not a curated record. The transcript is spliced from 2 exons. NCBI's taxonomy places the organism in Eukaryota, Metazoa, Chordata, Chondrichthyes, Lamniformes, Lamnidae.